This 484-nucleotide ribosomal RNA is filed under the name uncultured bacterium. RNAcentral describes it as "bacterial SSU rRNA". It matches the Rfam family "Bacterial small subunit ribosomal RNA", at positions 28 to 520 of the family's 1533-position model. The record is from RNAcentral.
GAUAAACGCUGGCGGCGCACAUAAGACAUGCAAGUCGAACGGACAGAAGCCUUAGUUUACUAUGGUGGAAGUUAGUGGCGGACUGGUGAGUAACACGUAAGCAAUCUGCCUAUCAGAGGGGAACAACAGUUAGAAAUGACUGCUAAUACCGCAUAUGCCUAAGUAACACAUGUUACAAUAGGGAAAGGAGCAAUCCGCUGAUAGAUGAGCUUGCGUCUGAUUAGAUAGUUGGUGGGGUAACGGCCUACCAAGUCGACGAUCAGUAGCCGGACUGAGAGGUUGAACGGCCACAUUGGGACUGAGAUACGGCCCAGACUCCUACGGGAGGCAGCAGUCGGGAAUAUUGCGCAAUGGAGGAAACUCUGACGCAGUGACGCCGCGUGCAGGAAGAAGGUUUUCGGAUUGUAAACUGCUUUAGACAGGGAAGAAACAAGACAGUACCUGUAGAAUAAGCUCCGGCUAACUACGUGCCAGCAGCCGACGG